GGCUGGUCCACCCUUGGUACUGGUCCACUCCUGGCAUCUCAGAGGCUUGGUGUCUAAGUGCUAUCUAAAAUUAUGACCUAAGCACGAUCAGUUUUCUUUUGUUUGUCUUGGGUGUACAAGUUGUUUCAUUUAGUUAAAGUAAUGUUAAGCAUCUCGUUGACCUACCCUAUAUUGCUGAUUAUUUAAGGAGUUCCUCAAGUCCUGAUCAAAGCACUUGAAGUACCUUCUCUGCUUGUUUGCAGAGACCCUGUGGGUCACCGUGUGCCUCAGCUGGAGUGGACUGCACCUCUGUCAUAAUCCCACUACAUAUCUAUCUAUGGCACACUAUAGCCACUAAUUUCUACAAAGGUUGUCCUACUGAACCCCGAGGAGCCCGGGGACCACCGCUACCAUGACGACUGCCAUCCUGGAGCGCCUGAGCACCCUGUCUGUGAGCGGGCAGCAGCUGCGUCGUCUGCCCAAGAUUCUGGAAGAAGGGCUUCCCAAGAUGCCAUGCACCGUCCCAGAAACCGACGUGCCCCAGCUCUUUCGGGAGCCGUACAUCCACGCAGGCUACCGUCCCACGGGGCACGAGUGGCGUUACUACUUCUUCAGCCUCUUUCAGAAGCACAACGAGGUGGUCAACGUCUGGACCCACUUGCUCGCGGCC
Molecule: long non-coding RNA, 649 nt
Filed under: Rattus norvegicus (Norway rat)
Lineage: Eukaryota; Metazoa; Chordata; Mammalia; Rodentia; Muridae
Description: long non-coding RNA NONRATT029272
Source: RNAcentral